GACGAACGCUGGCGGCGUGCCUAACACAUGCAAGUCGAACGGAAAGGCCCUGCUUGCCGGGUACUCGAGUGGCCAACGGGUGAGUAACACGUGGGUGGUCUGCCCUCCAAUUAGGGUUAAGUAAGGUCAAGUGGGCGUAAUAACGGCCAGGAAAUAUAUUUAGUGUGGUGGUUGGAAAGUUUUCUCGGUGUAGGAUGAGCUCGCGGCCUAUCAGCUUGUUGGAGGGGUUAGGGCCUAACAAGGCGGCGACGGGUAGCCGGCCUGAGAGGAUGUACGGCCACAUUCAGACUGAGACACGACCCAGACGCCGACGAGAGGCAGCAGUGGGGAAUAUCGCACAAUGGGCACGAGCCUGAUGCAGCGACGCCGCGUGGGUGAUGAAGGCCUGCGAGUUGUAAACUCCUUUCGCUAGAGAAGAAGCGUUGUUGUGACGGUUCCUAGAUAAGAAGCCCCGGCUAACUACGUU
Molecule: ribosomal RNA, 466 nt
Filed under: uncultured bacterium
Lineage: Bacteria
Description: partial 16S ribosomal RNA
Rfam family: Bacterial small subunit ribosomal RNA
Source: RNAcentral